UGCGUAGGCGGCGUUGUAAGUCAGAGGUGAAAGCCCGCAGCUAAACUGUGGAACUGCCUUUGAUACUGCAGUGCUUGAAUUAGGUUGAGGUCGGCGGAAUGUGACAUGUAGCGGUGAAAUGCUUAGAUAUGUCAUAGAACACCAAUUGCGAAGGCAGCUGGCUAGACCUAUAUUGACGCUGAGGCACGAAAGCGUGGGGAGCGAACAGGAUUAGAUACCCUGGUAGUCC
RNAcentral lists this ribosomal RNA (229 nucleotides) under uncultured bacterium. RNAcentral's name for it is "partial 16S ribosomal RNA". It matches the Rfam family "Bacterial small subunit ribosomal RNA", at positions 568 to 796 of the family's 1533-position model. The record is from RNAcentral.